Molecule: long non-coding RNA, 444 nt
Filed under: Malus domestica (apple)
Lineage: Eukaryota; Viridiplantae; Streptophyta; Magnoliopsida; Rosales; Rosaceae
Description: long non-coding RNA (MDOM_LNC002801)
Source: RNAcentral
GGCUGUACCACGUAAUGAAGCUCCAAAUGAUCAACCUUCAGUGCCUCAUCCUUCUGGGGUUCUGCCUAGUACUGAGGCUCCGAAUAAUCACCCUCUGGUGACUCCUCUUUCUGGGGCUCUGCCGACUGCUGCGACUUCUCCUGAGCAACCUUUGUGAAGGCUCCCUCUUGUUUGUUUAUUUUGAUUCAUGUAUAUGUACAUAUUUGUAACUUAUUCGAGAUAUCAAUAAACAAGCUUUGCUUCAUUUCAACGUAUUGUGUUAAAUACACCAAGGUCUUCUUCAUUAAGUUCUUUGAAUUUUUCCUUUUGUUGAAGCUUUAUGAGUGAAGCAUGUAGGUUGAGGUAGUGCUCCCUUAAUUUCCCGAGUGAGGAAAACUUCUUGUUUGGAGACUUGAAAAAUCCAAGUCACUGAGUGGUCGUGAGACUUCCAAGUAUCAAGGUGCA